AACAUAAAACCCUAAAUCUAAAAAGUCAAUAAUACCCUCAUCAUCUUUACUCCCCAAAAGUAGCCUAUUCGAUCAAAUUUAGGGAUUAGGAGAGAAGUGCGGAUGGCGACCUGAGUGAGGCAACGGCGACUGAAGCAGUGGCAACCUGAGUGAGGCAGCGGCAACUGACCAAACACAACAGUGACUGAGGCAGCCGCAAACAGGCCAAGACCUGGAUUACCUGCUUUUCAAUUGCAAAUGCUCAUGAUUCUGUUUUGGCAAUACCUUCUCCAUUCCCUAGAUCAGUAUACAAUCCACCUGCUCAGCAACACAAUAGGGCUUGGAUCAAAUGAAUGAUACAACUUAUUGAUGACAGCGGAAGGGGCAAACAUGCGAGAUCACUCUUUAUGCCUUUACUGCUACUUUCCUUUUUAUCAGAGUGGCCGACCCUCAGGCAAAUUUUGCAGCUAGGAACUGUGAUUCACACACCUUUGUCCGCUUCACCAUCACUGUGUUAUUGAAGUUACAUUACAGGGUUGUGAGUCUCUAACUCUUAUCAAAUUAUCAAGAUUAAU
This is a long non-coding RNA of Macadamia integrifolia, 554 nucleotides long. RefSeq lists it as uncharacterized. NCBI's taxonomy places the organism in Eukaryota, Viridiplantae, Streptophyta, Magnoliopsida, Proteales, Proteaceae. The record is from RefSeq and is a predicted model, not a curated record. The transcript has 3 exons.